RNAcentral lists this ribosomal RNA (160 nucleotides) under uncultured cyanobacterium. Its description in RNAcentral is "partial 16S ribosomal RNA". It matches the Rfam family "Bacterial small subunit ribosomal RNA", at positions 356 to 533 of the family's 1533-position model. The record is from RNAcentral. Lineage: Bacteria; Bacillati; Cyanobacteriota.
GAGGAAUCUUCCACAAUGGGCGAAAGCCUGAUGGAGCAACGCCGCGUGCAGGAUGAAGGCCCUCGGGUCGUAAACUGCUUUUAUAAGUGAAGAAUAUGACGGUAACUUAUGAAUAAGCACCGGCUAACUACGUGCCAGCAGCCGCGGUCAUACGUAGGGU